Molecule: ribosomal RNA, 238 nt
Filed under: uncultured bacterium
Lineage: Bacteria
Description: partial 16S ribosomal RNA
Rfam family: Bacterial small subunit ribosomal RNA
Source: RNAcentral
AGGCUGUGAAGCGGAGCAAAUCUCAAAAACCGGUCCCAGUUCGGAUUGUAGGCUGCAACUCGCCUACAUGAAGUCGGAGUUGCUAGUAAUCGCGGAUCAGAAUGCCGCGGUGAAUGCGUUCCCGGGUCUUGUACACACCGCCCGUCACACCAUGGAAGUUGGGGGCGCCCGAAGUUGCCUAAGAAAUAAGGUACCUAAGGCGAAACCAAUGACUGGGGUGAAGUCGUAACAAGGUAUC